GAUGAACGCUGGCGGCGUGCCUAAUACAUGCAAGUCGAGCGAACGGACGAGAAGCUUGCUUCUCUGAUGUUAGCGGCGGACGGGUGAGUAACACGUGGAUAACCUACCUAUAAGGCUGGGAUAACUUCGGGAAACCGGAGCUAAUACCGGAUAAUAUUUUGAACCGCAUGGUUCAAAAGUGAAAGACGGUCUUGCUGUCACUUAUAGAUGGAUCCGCGCUGCAUUAGCUAGUUGGUAAGGUAACGGCUUACCAAGGCAACGAUGCAUAGCCGACCUGAGAGGGUGAUCGGCCACACUGGAACUGAGACACGGUCCAGACUCCUACGGGAGGCAGCAGUAGGGAAUCUUCCGCAAUGGGCGAAAGCCUGACGGAGCAACGCCGCGUGAGUGAUGAAGGUCUUCGGAUCGUAAAACUCUGUUAUUAGGGAAGAACAUAUGUGUAAGUAACUGUGCACAUCUUGACGGUACCUAAUCAGAAAGCCACGGCUAACUACGUGCCAGCAGCCGCGGUAAUACGUAGGUGGCAAGCGUUAUCCGGAAUUAUUGGGCGUAAAGCGCGCGUAGGCGGUUUUUUAAGUCUGAUGUGAAAGCCCACGGCUCAACCGUGGAGGGUCAUUGGAAACUGGAAAACUUGAGUGCAGAAGAGGAAAGUGGAAUUCCAUGUGUAGCGGUGAAAUGCGCAGAGAUAUGGAGGAACACCAGUGGCGAAGGCGACUUUCUGGUCUGUAACUGACGCUGAUGUGCGAAAGCGUGGGGAUCAAACAGGAUUAGAUACCCUGGUAGUCCACGCCGUAAACGAUGAGUGCUAAGUGUUAGGGGGUUUCCGCCCCUUAGUGCUGCAGCUAACGCAUUAAGCACUCCGCCUGGGGAGUACGACCGCAAGGUUGAAACUCAAAGGAAUCGACGGGGACCCGCACAAGCGGUGGAGCAUGUGGUUUAAUUCGAAGCAACGCGAAGAACCUUACCAAAUCUUGACAUCCUUUGACAACUCUAGAGAUAGAGCCUUCCCCUUCGGGGGACAAAGUGACAGGUGGUGCAUGGUUGUCGUCAGCUCGUGUCGUGAGAUGUUGGGUUAAGUCCCGCAACGAGCGCAACCCUUAAGCUUAGUUGCCAUCAUUAAGUUGGGCACUCUAAGUUGACUGCCGGUGACAAACCGGAGGAAGGUGGGGAUGACGUCAAAUCAUCAUGCCCCUUAUGAUUUGGGCUACACACGUGCUACAAUGGACAAUACAAAGGGCAGCGAAACCGCGAGGUCAAGCAAAUCCCAUAAAGUUGUUCUCAGUUCGGAUUGUAGUCUGCAACUCGACUACAUGAAGCUGGAAUCGCUAGUAAUCGUAGAUCAGCAUGCUACGGUGAAUACGUUCCCGGGUCU
RNAcentral lists this ribosomal RNA (1372 nucleotides) under uncultured bacterium. RNAcentral's name for it is "bacterial SSU rRNA". It matches the Rfam family "Bacterial small subunit ribosomal RNA", at positions 28 to 1381 of the family's 1533-position model. The record is from RNAcentral.